RNAcentral lists this ribosomal RNA (471 nucleotides) under uncultured bacterium. Its description in RNAcentral is "partial 16S ribosomal RNA". It matches the Rfam family "Bacterial small subunit ribosomal RNA", at positions 28 to 507 of the family's 1533-position model. The record is from RNAcentral.
GACGAACGCUGGCGGCGUGCUUAACACAUGCAGGUCGAACGAUGAAGCCUAGCUUGCUAGGUGGAUUAGUGGCGAACGGGUGAGUAAUACGUGAGUAACCUACCUUUAACUCUGGGAUAAGCCUGGGAAACUGGGUCUAAUACCGGAUACGACCAAUCUCCGCAUGGGGUGUUGGUGGAAAGCGUUAUGUAGUGGUUAUAGAUGGGCUCACGGCCUAUCAGCUUGUUGGUGAGGUAACGGCUCACCAAGGCGACGACGGGUAGCCGGCCUGAGAGGGUGACCGGCCACACUGGGACUGAGACACGGCCCAGACUCCUACGGGAGGCAGCAGUGGGGAAUAUUGCACAAUGGGCGCAAGCCUGAUGCAGCGACGCCGCGUGAGGGAUGACGGCCUUCGGGUUGUAAACCUCUGUUAGCAGGGAAGAAGAGAGAUUGACGGUACCUGCAGAGAAAGCGCCGGCUAACUACGUG